This 464-nucleotide ribosomal RNA is filed under the name uncultured bacterium. RNAcentral describes it as "partial 16S ribosomal RNA". It matches the Rfam family "Bacterial small subunit ribosomal RNA", at positions 30 to 507 of the family's 1533-position model. The record is from RNAcentral.
CGAACGCUGGCGGCGCGCCUAACACAUGCAAGUCGAACGAGCGAGAGAGAGCUUGCUUUCUCAAGCGAGUGGCGAACGGGUGAGUAACGCGUGAGGAACCUGCCUCAAAGAGGGGGACAACAGUUGGAAACGACUGCUAAUACCGCAUAAGCCCACAGGUCGGCAUCGACCAGAGGGAAAAGGAGCAAUCCGCUUUGAGAUGGCCUCGCGUCCGAUUAGCUAGUUGGUGAGGUAACGGCCCACCAAGGCAACGAUCGGUAGCCGGACUGAGAGGUUGAACGGCCACAUUGGGACUGAGACACGGCCCAGACUCCUACGGGAGGCAGCAGUGGGGAAUAUUGCACAAUGGGGGAAACCCUGAUGCAGCGACGCCGCGUGGAGGAAGAAGGUCUUCGGAUUGUAAACUCCUGUUGUUGAGGAAGAUAAUGACGGUACUCAACAAGGAAGUGACGGCUAACUACGUG